RNAcentral lists this long non-coding RNA (1023 nucleotides) under Equus caballus (horse). Its description in RNAcentral is "lncRNA (ENSECAG00000060385.1)". Lineage: Eukaryota; Metazoa; Chordata; Mammalia; Perissodactyla; Equidae. The record is from RNAcentral.
UCCCCAUGGAUGUUAAUAAGCUCGGGUCUGUGGCAGCAACAACUAUCUUCACUCCCAGCCUGCAGAGGUGAGCUACCAGUGAACUUCUUAAUGAUACGGAGCAUUCUCACCAGAAUGAGAUGAAUUCUCACCUCUCACCAGAGCAUACCUAAAUGUCCUUGGUGAAUAGUGUAUCCUCGCGUCCCUCCUGUGGUACCUUGGAUUCAGUAAUGUACAAGAGUUUCACCUGAUCCACAUCCUCAUCCACACUUGAUAUUGGUUUCACCGGUUCGGAUCCUGGGUGUGGACAUGGCACCGCUCAUCUGGCCAUGCUGAGGCGGAAUCCCACAUGCCACAACUAGAAGGACCCGCAACUAAACCUGGGUUUGCUUCCUGCUACCAGCAGCAGUGUGGGAUGUGGCAGCAUCUUCCCUCUCCCCUUCUGUGCCCCGACUUCCUCUCCUCUCCCUGUCCCGGAGAAGACUGCCUGUGGAUCCUCCACAUUCAGACCGAGGAAAGGAAGAGAAGCAAUAAGCAGGAAAGGCCCGAUGUCACUGAUAAUACCGCGACCUGGUCUAAUGCUCUCAUGGCAGGACUUAGAUCUGUCUGUAGUAGAGCACUUUCAAGGUUCCUCAGAAAUGUCCUCAUGGAAAAAUUCUAAAUACAAUUCCUCUGAGUUCCAGGCUGGAGCCUUCUGCAGCACCCUAGUCAAGCUAUAUGGGAGACCAUAAGGAAACUCAGAGAACUCACUGCUGUGUUCUUCCUCAAGUCUUGAAGUCUCCAGGCAGUUCACUUCCUUCUUUCUACCUUUCAGAGUCUUCCUGUGCUUAUUUUAGUCCAGGGUUGUGUUAUGGUUCUGCUGACUGUGUUAUAGCCAAGACAUUUAGUUGUAAUGGUGAGAUUCAGAGAGAAAUUCCAUCUUGGCCAGAACUGGAAGUUGAAAUUGAAUUUUUAUCCAUUUUUAUUUGAUAUAUUAUUCAUAAUUAAAUAAAUGACUAAUAAAAAAUAAAAACUAGAAAGAAACACACUUUUGAGAUGACUUGC